This 618-nucleotide ribosomal RNA is filed under the name Vibrio vulnificus. RNAcentral describes it as "bacterial SSU rRNA". It matches the Rfam family "Bacterial small subunit ribosomal RNA", at positions 29 to 636 of the family's 1533-position model. Lineage: Bacteria; Pseudomonadati; Pseudomonadota; Gammaproteobacteria; Vibrionales; Vibrionaceae. The record is from RNAcentral.
UUGAACGCUGGCGGCAGGCCUAACACAUGCAAGUCGAGCGGCAGCACAGAGGAACUUGUUCCUUGGGUGGCGAGCGGCGGACGGGUGAGUAAUGCCUGGGAAAUUGCCCUGAUGUGGGGGAUAACCAUUGGAAACGAUGGCUAAUACCGCAUGAUGCCUUCGGGCCAAAGAGGGGGACCUUCGGGCCUCUCGCGUCAGGAUAUGCCCAGGUGGGAUUAGCUAGUUGGUGAGGUAAUGGCUCACCAAGGCGACGAUCCCUAGCUGGUCUGAGAGGAUGAUCAGCCACACUGGAACUGAGACACGGUCCAGACUCCUACGGGAGGCAGCAGUGGGGAAUAUUGCACAAUGGGCGCAAGCCUGAUGCAGCCAUGCCGCGUGUAUGAAGAAGGCCUUCGGGUUGUAAAGUACUUUCAGUCGUGAGGAAGGUUGUAGUGUGAAUAGCACUAUGAUUUGACGUUAGCGACAGAAGAAGCACCGGCUAACUCCGUGCCAGCAGCCGCGGUAAUACGGAGGGUGCGAGCGUUAAUCGGAAUUACUGGGCGUAAAGCGCAUGCAGGUGGUUUGUUAAGUCAGAUGUGAAAGCCCUGGGCUCAACCUAGGAGUUGCAUUUGAAACUGG